CCCCUCUCAGAAUGGCAGCUGGAGAGUGUCUGAUACUCUACCAGUCUCGAUUACAGGAGGGAGAGUCAAGCAGAGGCAUACCCAUCCAUUCCUAGCUUGGGAGUUGGGUAGUGAGUGGAGGGCAAUCUGCUACAAGU
Molecule: small nucleolar RNA, 137 nt
Organism: Tachyglossus aculeatus (Australian echidna)
Lineage: Eukaryota; Metazoa; Chordata; Mammalia; Monotremata; Tachyglossidae
Source: RefSeq, a predicted model, not a curated record